Molecule: ribosomal RNA, 429 nt
Filed under: Bacteroidota bacterium
Lineage: Bacteria; Pseudomonadati; Bacteroidota
Description: Bacteroidetes bacterium partial 16S ribosomal RNA
Rfam family: Bacterial small subunit ribosomal RNA
Source: RNAcentral
UAGGGAAUCUUCCGCAAUGGACGCAAGUCUGACGGAGCAACGCCGCGUGAGUGAAGAAGGAUUUCGGUUCGUAAAACUCUGUUGUUAGAGAAGAACAGCGCAUAGAGUAACUGUUAUGCGUGUGACGGUAUCUAACCAGAAAGCCACGGCUAACUACGUUCCAGCAGCCGCGGUAAUACGUAGGUGGCAAGCGUUGUCCGGAUUUAUUGGGCGUAAAGCGAGCGCAGGCGGUCAAUUAAGUCUGAUGUGAAAGCCCCCGGCUCAACCGGGGAGGGUCAUUGGAAACUGGUUGACUUGAGUGCAGAAGAGGAGAGUGGAAUUCCAUGUGUAGCGGUGAAAUGCGUAGAUAUAUGGAGGAACACCAGUGGCGAAGGCGACUCUCUGGUCUGUAACUGACGCUGAGGUUCGAAAGCGUGGGUAGCAAACAGG